Long non-coding RNA from Cyprinus carpio carpio, 1367 nucleotides. The record is from Ensembl. Lineage: Eukaryota; Metazoa; Chordata; Actinopteri; Cypriniformes; Cyprinidae.
UGAUAACAAGAGUUUGAUAUAAUGUUGAGCCGUGCCACACGGAGCAUUUAUCUGCUCGGCUCAAACAAAUACCUGAAACUAUAUAGUUACAUUUUUACCAUGGUAUUGAUGUGCAGUUUAACUGUGGUUAACAUGAUCUAAACGUAUGCUACUAUGGAAGACCAAUGGUUAAUUUAAAUAAAACUCAAUCAGUCAGAAUAAUUAUAUUCAGCCAUAUAAAAAUAAGGUUGUUUUAAUUUUUACAGAUGUUUUGCAUCUGCAUCCGAACUCAAGCUACUGUCAAAUGUGCAUUUCUAAUGUAAUAUUAAUAAUAUUGGAGCCCGCACUGCAAACUGUUUUGGAAACAAUAUCUCUCAUUAGAACAUGCAGAAACUAAGAAAUUAUUUUUUCUAUUAAGAUAUUUAUUUUGUUAAGGAAAAAUGACUGGAAAAGUGUAAAGAAUUCAAAAACGUGAAGUGUUUGUCAUGUUCUGAUCAUAAAGAGUCGUUUAAAACCACAAAAUACAACUGAAAUCUGCCUUUAAACUUGAAAGAAAUAAAGAUUUGAAUUAUAUCAUGAUAAUUAGCAAUAUCAACUGAUAUGAAAAUAUGUGUAUAUAUUUAUAUAAAAUGCUAUAAAUGUUAUAGUUCCCCCAGUAAUAUGGAAUCAUUGAAGCAGCUGUUUUUGGUCAGUGUCGCUGUUGAUUUGUCUGCAUGUGUUGAUGUUUCAGGUGGCCAGAUGGGAGCACAGGACCAGAGGCCUGACCCGUCUGUUUGGAGGUCCAUAUGUGGCCUGUUAUUCCCUCGCUGUGCUCAUCUUGCUCUUCAAUGUUUACCAAAGCCACAGACAUUUGUCUCUGUUAUAUCUUGUUUUUUAAAGAGAUCUGAAGCAACGUGUGUGAUUUCAUGUCCACACUGUCCUCGUCAGUCGCACUGUUACCUAACCUCAGUCUGAAGAAACCAGGAGUUGGAUCUCUAUAGAGCACAGGGCCUAAAAGAGAGAUGCAGAAGAAAGGUGCAGGAAAUAAUCACUCUUCUCUGAAAGGACGGGAGUGUGAGGGAAGAACUUCCCUGCUGAUGGGGAAAAUAAGCCCACACUAAUAGAGAGUCAGCUGAACCUGUGGAUGUGUUCGGAUGCUCCUGCUGCAAAAAGGUACAAAAGCUCUUACUGGGGUGGGACACUUUCAACAGCUACACCUUUGUACCUUAUUUACCCCUAAAGGUGCAUGUUAAUGCCUACAGUAAAUGGUGCAAUUUAGUAUCUUUUGAAUGGGUACCGCUCCAGUGACAGCUUUUGUACCUUUUAAAAAAAUGACUUUUUAAAAAGUAUUUUUGUCUUGCUCUCAAAAUACAUUUACUUGAGAAGCAAAAUGACUUGAGAUAUUAAAU